UAGGGAAUCUUCCACAAUGGACGCAAGUCUGAUGGAGCAACGCCGCGUGAGUGAAGAAGGUUUUCGGACCGUAAAGCUCUGUUGUUGGUGAAGAAGGAUAGAGGUAGUAACUGGCCUUUAUUUGACGGUAAUCAACCAGAAAGUCACGGCUAACUACGUGCCAGCAGCCGCGGUAAUACGUAGGUGGCAAGCGUUGUCCGGAUUAUUGGGCGUAAAGCGAGCGCAGGCGGAAGAAUAAGUCUGAUGUGAAAGCCCUCGGCUUAACCGAGGAAUUGCAUCGGAAACUGUUUUCUUGAGUGCAGAAGAGGAGAGUAGAACUCCAUGUGUAGCGGUAGAAUGCGUAGAUAUAUGGAAGAAUACCAGUGGCGAAGGCGGCUCUCUGGUCUGCAACUGACGCUGAGGCUCGAAAGCAUGGGUAGCGAACAGGAUUAGAUACCCUGGUAGUCCAUGCCGUAAACGAUGAGUGCUAAGUGUUGGGAGGCUUCCGCCUCUCAGUGCUGCAGCUAACGCAUUAAGCACUCCGCCUGGGGGAGUACGACCGCAAGGUUGAAAC
RNAcentral lists this ribosomal RNA (553 nucleotides) under uncultured bacterium. RNAcentral's name for it is "partial 16S ribosomal RNA". It matches the Rfam family "Bacterial small subunit ribosomal RNA", at positions 355 to 900 of the family's 1533-position model. The record is from RNAcentral.